RNAcentral lists this long non-coding RNA (227 nucleotides) under Elaeis guineensis (African oil palm). Its description in RNAcentral is "long non-coding RNA (EGUI_LNC013557)". Lineage: Eukaryota; Viridiplantae; Streptophyta; Magnoliopsida; Arecales; Arecaceae. The record is from RNAcentral.
UCCCUUCUCUUCAAAGUUCAAGUGGCGCUUAUUUUCCAUACCACAGGGAUGCCAAUCAAUCAGUUCAUUUACCAAUUACCAUCCAAGGAUGGGCAACAAAAGUUAUAAUUUGCAACUCUCAUUUUUGUUAACAUCUGGGCAACAAAAGUUAUAAUUUGCUACUCUCAUUUCUGUUAAUAUCUGUAUAAUCUGUAAACAUGAAUAACAAUGCUGUUUAUUGCGGUUCG